CCUAAUGUAGGCCACUCAACCUUUUGGCACCUCAGUUUGCUCAUCGGACAAGUGGGACCAGUAAUGGCUGCUGCAAUGCUUGAGUUGUGGAGUGAACCCCCCCCCUUUUCUUUUGCUUUUUAGGGCCACACCCACGGUAUAUGGGAGUUCUCAGGCUAGGAGUCAACUUGGAGCUACAGCCGUUGGCCCACACCACAGCCACAGCAACACAGGACCCAAGCCACAUCUGCAACCUGCACCACAGCUCACGCAACGCUGGAUCCUUAACCCACUGAGCAAGGCCAGGGCUCAAACCCACGUCCUCAUGGAUACUAGUCAGGUUCACUACCCCUGAGCCAUGACGGAAACUCCAUGGAGUGAACUCCUUAAAAAUGCCGAUGUCAUUUAAUGCCCAAGAGAGUUUCCUGAGGGAGGUAGCAUCAAACCUUUCUAAAGCAGCAGGAACUGAGACACAGAGAGGCAGUGUCUUGUCCCAAAGCCUAUCAGAACUCAAACCCACAUCUGGCUUGCUCUAAGUCCUGUGUUCUUGUUAUAUUACUUCACAGUGACGCUGAACUCAAAGGCCACAUCCCUGUCCCCCCCUGGGGUGGGGAAAGCACACGGUGGCUCUCUGAUCAAGGCUCAGGGUGCCCUGUGUCCUUGGUCCCCCCAGAAGUUCCAGCCAAGGCCAGCUCUGGUUCCUCGGGGCCAUGCGCUCUGCUGUGGGAGCAGGUCCUGUGAGCUUGGUUGGGUCAGGGGUCACCCAGAAAAUAACCACCUUCCACUUCCUUUAAUUAUGCAAACUAGAGCGAGGUGACUGAGAUCUUGCCUCUGGUCUGCAAGACACAGGGAGUUUUGCAAGCCCCAGGGAGUGCAGAAUUUCCUGAAGAUGUUGCACAGGGGCUGGCUUUUGCUGAAGUCGUACAGUAUUCUCCUUUGCUUUGGUUAUGACUGCAGAGGUGCUGGGAAGCCGACUGGAGAGCAGCACCAUGGAGCGGCCGGCUCCUCUCCGUGGGAGGCGCCGCCCGCUCUUUGAGAGGGAAGGGCUCGGCUCUGCUGCCUUGGGCUAAAAGCACUGUGAUCCAGUUCCACCUCCUGGCUCCUUCAUUGGUAAUUGGUUUUCCAAAAUGCAAGGAUUUUUGCUGACCAACAGGGACCUGAAGGCUUGAAAAUUUAGACAGCAGAGAGCUAGGUGGCUGAGAUUUUACAAAAGUCCGUAUUUUGCUAGUUUAAUCUGGGAAAGGACGCACAACCCAAAGAAUAGGAGCCUUGUUGCAGAAGAACCAAUUUCAUUCACCAGGGUAUUUUACCAGUAGUCGCGCUGGGCACCU
RNAcentral lists this long non-coding RNA (1310 nucleotides) under Sus scrofa (pig). RNAcentral's name for it is "lncRNA (ENSSSCG00015012458.1)". Lineage: Eukaryota; Metazoa; Chordata; Mammalia; Artiodactyla; Suidae. The record is from RNAcentral.